AGUGAACGCUGGCGGCGUGCCUAAUACAUGCAAGUCGAACGGAGUGGCGCACGGGUGAGUAAUAUAUAGCUAAUCUGCCCCUUGCUGGAGGACAACAGUUAGAAAUGACUGCUAAUACUCCAUAGCAAGGGAUGAGACUAUAUCGUAUCAGCUAGUCGGUGGGGUAACGGCCUACCGAGGCUAUGACGCGUAACUGGUCUGAGAGGAUGAUCAGUCAAAUUUGAACGGAGACACGGGCCAAGAUCCUACGGGAGGCAGCCGUAGCGUAUAUUGCGCAAUGGGGGAAUCCCUGAAGAAGCUACGCCGCGUGGAGGAUGACACUUUUCGGAGCGUAAACGCCUUUUGUUAGGGAAGCGGUACCUAACGAAUAAGCACCGGCUAACUCCGUGCCAGCAGCCGCGGUAAUUC
RNAcentral lists this ribosomal RNA (408 nucleotides) under uncultured bacterium. Its description in RNAcentral is "partial 16S ribosomal RNA". It matches the Rfam family "Bacterial small subunit ribosomal RNA", at positions 29 to 526 of the family's 1533-position model. The record is from RNAcentral.